AAGCCUUUGAUAAAGCCGAAGGCUAUAUCGUGGUGGAGGAAGCCAUGAGUAGCCUCAAGCGUCCUUCUUCAGAUCGGCUUAAGGAGAUAGAUCGGGACAAAACCGAUGGAGACCAGAGGAAGAAUGAAGGGAAUAAGGACCGUAAUGAAGGCGGGUCGAAGAGAUACAAUAAUUGGAGGCAGGGUGGAGGACGUUCGUCCGCUCCAACCCAGAGAGUAAAU
Molecule: long non-coding RNA, 221 nt
Filed under: Panax ginseng (ginseng)
Lineage: Eukaryota; Viridiplantae; Streptophyta; Magnoliopsida; Apiales; Araliaceae
Description: long non-coding RNA (PGIN_LNC002830)
Source: RNAcentral